UACAGAGGGGGCAAGCGUUGUUCGGAAUUACUGGGCGUAAAGGGCGCGUAGGCGGCCUUCUAAGUCGAACGUGAAAUCCCCGGGCUCAACCCGGGAACUGCGUCCGAUACUGAAAGGCUUGAAUCCGGGAGAGGGAUGCGGAAUUCCAGGUGUAGCGGUGAAAUGCGUAGAUAUCUGGAGGAACACCGGUGGCGAAGGCGGCAUCCUGGACCAACACUGACGCUGAGGAGCGAAAGCCAGGGGAGCAAACGGG
RNAcentral lists this ribosomal RNA (253 nucleotides) under uncultured bacterium. RNAcentral's name for it is "partial 16S ribosomal RNA". It matches the Rfam family "Bacterial small subunit ribosomal RNA", at positions 524 to 776 of the family's 1533-position model. The record is from RNAcentral.